RNAcentral lists this ribosomal RNA (225 nucleotides) under uncultured Geobacillus sp. RNAcentral describes it as "partial 16S ribosomal RNA". It matches the Rfam family "Bacterial small subunit ribosomal RNA", at positions 1156 to 1382 of the family's 1533-position model. The record is from RNAcentral. Lineage: Bacteria; Bacillati; Bacillota; Bacilli; Caryophanales; Anoxybacillaceae.
CGACAAGUCGGAGGAAGUGGGAUGACGUCAAAUCAUCAUGCCCCUUAUGACCUGGGCUACACACGUGCUACAAUGGGCGGUACAAAGGGCUGCGAACCCGCGAGGGGGAGCGAAUCCCAAAAAGCCGCUCUCAGUUCGGAUUGCAGGCUGCAACUCGCCUGCAUGAAGCCGGAAUCGCUAGUAAUCGCGGAUCAGCAUGCCGCGGUGAAUACGUUCCCGGGCCUU